Molecule: non-coding RNA, 212 nt
Filed under: Pelagerythrobacter marensis
Lineage: Bacteria; Pseudomonadati; Pseudomonadota; Alphaproteobacteria; Sphingomonadales; Erythrobacteraceae
Source: RNAcentral
CGCACUGACUGCGGCGACGGUUCCGUGCGGGCGAAAGCGCGCGCGGCGAAGAGGGAAGCCGGUGCAAUGCCGGCGCUGUGCCCGCAACUGUAAGUGGGGAGCCCCGGGCCACCACGUCACUGGCGCUUCGCGAUUUGCGCGAAUGCCGCCGGGAAGACGGCCCAGGGCGUCGAUCCGCAAGCCAGGAGACCUGCCGUCGCGUCGUUCGUCCG